GAGGUGCUUGCACCUUAUCUUAGCGGCGGACGGGUGAGUAAUGCUUAGGAAUCUGCCUAUUAGUGGGGGACAACAUUCCGAAAGGAUGCUAAUACCGCAUACGUCCUACGGGAGAAAGCAGGGGAUCUUCGGACCUUGCGCUAAUAGAUGAGCCUAAGUCGGAUUAGCUAGUUGGUGGGGUAAAGGCCUACCAAGGCGACGAUCUGUAGCGGGUCUGAAGGAUGAUCCGCCACACUGGGACUGAGACACGCCCAGACUCCUAC
This 263-nucleotide ribosomal RNA is filed under the name uncultured Acinetobacter sp. Its description in RNAcentral is "partial 16S ribosomal RNA". It matches the Rfam family "Bacterial small subunit ribosomal RNA", at positions 73 to 342 of the family's 1533-position model. The record is from RNAcentral. Lineage: Bacteria; Pseudomonadati; Pseudomonadota; Gammaproteobacteria; Moraxellales; Moraxellaceae.